This 1478-nucleotide ribosomal RNA is filed under the name Weissella confusa. RNAcentral describes it as "bacterial SSU rRNA". It matches the Rfam family "Bacterial small subunit ribosomal RNA". The record is from RNAcentral. Lineage: Bacteria; Bacillati; Bacillota; Bacilli; Lactobacillales; Lactobacillaceae.
GAUGACGCUGCGGCGUGCUAAUACAUGCAAGUCGAACGCUUUGUGGUUCAACUGAUUUGAAGAGCUUGCUCAGAUAUGACGAUGGACAUUGCAAAGAGUGGCGAACGGGUGAGUAACACGUGGGAAACCUACCUCUUAGCAGGGGAUAACAUUUGGAAACAGAUGCUAAUACCGUAUAACAAUGACAACCGCAUGGUUGUUAUUUAAAAGAUGGUUCUGCUAUCACUAAGAGAUGGUCCCGCGGUGCAUUAGCUAGUUGGUAAGGUAAUGGCUUACCAAGGCGAUGAUGCAUAGCCGAGUUGAGAGACUGAUCGGCCACAAUGGGACUGAGACACGGCCCAUACUCCUACGGGAGGCAGCAGUAGGGAAUCUUCCACAAUGGGCGAAAGCCUGAUGGAGCAACGCCGCGUGUGUGAUGAAGGGUUUCGGCUCGUAAAACACUGUUGUAAGAGAAGAAUGACAUUGAGAGUAACUGUUCAAUGUGUGACGGUAUCUUACCAGAAAGGAACGGCUAAAUACGUGCCAGCAGCCGCGGUAAUACGUAUGUUCCAAGCGUUAUCCGGAUUUAUUGGGCGUAAAGCGAGCGCAGACGGUUAUUUAAGUCUGAAGUGAAAGCCCUCAGCUCAACUGAGGAAUUGCUUUGGAAACUGGAUGACUUGAGUGCAGUAGAGGAAAGUGGAACUCCAUGUGUAGCGGUGAAAUGCGUAGAUAUAUGGAAGAACACCAGUGGCGAAGGCGGCUUUCUGGACUGUAACUGACGUUGAGGCUCGAAAGUGUGGGUAGCAAACAGGAUUAGAUACCCUGGUAGUCCACACCGUAAACGAUGAGUGCUAGGUGUUUGAGGGUUUCCGCCCUUAAGUGCCGCAGCUAACGCAUUAAGCACUCCGCCUGGGGAGUACGACCGCAAGGUUGAAACUCAAAGGAAUUGACGGGGACCCGCACAAGCGGUGGAGCAUGUGGUUUAAUUCGAAGCAACGCGAAGAACCUUACCAGGUCUUGACAUCCCUUGACAACUCCAGAGAUGGAGCGUUCCCUUCGGGGACAAGGUGACAGGUGGUGCAUGGUUGUCGUCAGCUCGUGUCGUGAGAUGUUGGGUUAAGUCCCGCAACGAGCGCAACCCUUAUUACUAGUUGCCAGCAUUCAGUUGGGCACUCUAGUGAGACUGCCGGUGACAAACCGGAGGAAGGUGGGGAUGACGUCAAAUCAUCAUGCCCCUUAUGACCUGGGCUACACACGUGCUACAAUGGCGUAUACAACGAGUUGCCAACCCGCGAGGGUGAGCUAAUCUCUUAAAGUACGUCUCAGUUCGGAUUGUAGGCUGCAACUCGCCUACAUGAAGUCGGAAUCGCUAGUAAUCGCGGAUCAGCACGCCGCGGUGAAUACGUUCCCGGGUCUUGUACACACCGCCCGUCACACCAUGAGAGUUUGUAACACCCAAAGCCGGUGGGGGUAACCUUCGGGAGCCAGCCGUCUAAGUG